UCGAACGUCAACUCUGGCAACG
This 22-nucleotide unclassified non-coding RNA is filed under the name Chlamydomonas reinhardtii. RNAcentral's name for it is "small RNA Cre_2610". Lineage: Eukaryota; Viridiplantae; Chlorophyta; Chlorophyceae; Chlamydomonadales; Chlamydomonadaceae. The record is from RNAcentral.